RNA transcript from Mangifera indica (mango), 2433 nucleotides. It is a transcript of the gene named prolycopene isomerase, chloroplastic, with no coding region annotated. Lineage: Eukaryota; Viridiplantae; Streptophyta; Magnoliopsida; Sapindales; Anacardiaceae. The record is from RefSeq and is a predicted model, not a curated record. The transcript has 13 exons.
AACUGUUUUACAUCAUCUCCUUCCACUUCCUAUUUAAUUUUGUCUUUGUCUCAUCUCUUUAACUUCCCAAGAAUCAUAGCUUCGAAUCACAACCUACUCCCUCACUGUUUACAUGUCCGAUACCAAAGAUAAUCCAAUAGCUCACUUGUCUCAUCUCUUAACUUUCCAUGGCCGACUAAACCUUCAAUUUUCUACUUCUCAACCACAAUUAUCAAGUUUUCAAUUCACAAAACACUGUAAAAUUUAGUGCUUUGAGUCAGAAAGUUCACAAAAUUCAGUCUUUUCACACUCAAAGAACCUUCAACAUGUUUAGCAGCCACAUAACCAGAAGCCAAAACCACAAUUUCUUCUCUUUUGAACAUGGUAAAGCUUUAGCUUUCAGUGAUUGCAAGCACAGUAACUUGAAGCUAGGUUAUAUUAAUGCUGCACAGGGGGCAAAAUUCAGACUCAGAAAGGAAAAAUACAAUUGUUUAUCUGGGGAUAUGUUACAUAUAUCAACUUUCGAUAGUUAUGGGAAACAAAAGAGGAAUAGGGACUUUGUUUUGAUGGCGAAAUCAGCUUUGAAUGUAGAGAAUAUGGAGUUGGAGGGAAAUGAGGUAGUAAGUAGGGAAACAAAUAAGUAUGAUGCAAUUGUUAUAGGGUCAGGAAUUGGAGGCUUGGUUGCAGCCACGCAGCUGGCAGUUAAAGGAGCUAGGGUUUUGGUGUUGGAGAAGUAUGUGAUUCCUGGUGGAAGUUCGGGUUAUUACCAGAGAGAUGGGUAUACUUUUGAUGUUGGAUCUUCUGUGAUGUUUGGUUUCAGUGAUAAGGGCAACCUAAAUUUGAUAACCCAAGCUCUAGCUGCGGUUGGCUGUGAGAUGGAGGUUAUACCUGAUCCAACUACAGUCCAUUUCCAUCUACCCAAUGAGCUUUCUGUACGAGUGCAUAGGGAAUACAGUGAUUUUAUUGCAGAGCUCACCAGUAAAUUUCCUCAUGAAAAGGAAGGAAUUCUCUCAUUCUAUGGAGAAUGUUGGAAGAUCUUCAAUGCCUUGAAUUCAUUGGAACUAAAGUCACUUGAAGAGCCAAUCUACCUUUUUGGGCAGUUCUUUCAAAAGCCUCUCGAAUGCUUGACAUUAGCCUAUUAUUUGCCCCAAAAUGCUGGACAUAUAGCUCGGAAGUACAUAAAAGAUCCCCAGCUGUUGUCAUUCAUUGAUGCAGAGUGUUUUAUAGUGAGCACAGUAAAUGCUUUGCAGACACCAAUGAUCAAUGCUAGCAUGGUUCUUUGUGACAGGCAUUUUGGAGGGAUUAACUACCCUGUUGGUGGUGUUGGUGGAAUUGCAAAGUCCUUGGCAAAUGGCCUGGUUGAUCAGGGCAGUGAAAUACUCUACAAGGCACAUGUAACAGGCAUUGUACUUGAGGAUGGAAAGGCUGUAGGGGUGAGGCUAUCAGAUGGAAGGGAGUUUUUUGCCAAAACAAUAAUCUCCAAUGCUACUAGAUGGGAUACAUUUGGGAAGCUAUUGAAAGGAGAAAAACUUCCGAAGGAAGAAGAAAAUUUUCAAAAAGUUUAUGUCAAGGCUCCUUCUUUUCUUUCCAUUCACAUGGGUGUUAAAGCUGAGGUUCUGCCACCCGAUACAGAUUGUCAUCAUUUUGUGCUUGAGGAUUGCUGGACAAGAUUAGAGGAACCUUAUGGAAGUAUAUUUUUAAGCAUACCAACUGUUCUUGAUUCAUCACUUGCUCCUGAGGGGCGCCAUAUCCUUCACAUAUUUACAACUUCUUCCAUAGAAGAUUGGCAGGGAAUGUCUCAAAAGGACUAUGAUGCAAAGAAGGAACUUGUGGCAGAUGAAAUAAUUGGCAGAUUGGAGAAAAAAUUGUUUCCUGGGCUUAGGAAGUCCAUUGUUUUUAAGGAGGUAUAAUUCACGCGCACAUAAUGGUUGGGACACCUAAAACACACAGGAGGUACCUGGCUCGAGAUAAGGGUACCUAUGGACCAAUGCCUCGUGGAACUCCUAAGGGCUUAUUAGGAAUGCCAUUUAAUACAACUGGUAUAGACAAUCUUUACUGUGUUGGAGAUAGUUGCUUUCCAGGACAAGGCGUUAUAGCUGUUGCUUUUUCAGGAGUAAUGUGUGCUCACCGAGUCGCAGCAGAUAUUGGGCUUGAGAAGAAGGCUCCUGUAUUGGAUGCUGCCCUUCUCAGAUUACUUAGUUGGUUAAGGACAUUGGCUUGAGAUAUCCUACGGGAAAUACAACGAUUCAACUUGAUUGUUACACGAGACAAAUAUUUGCUUGGUUCCUCGAUACAACUGUGGAUAUUAAGCAAUAUUGACUCAUUGAAUCAUGUCUUUUAUACUUGUAAGGCUGUAAAUAAUUAUACAAAAAGCUUUUGAGUGAUCUACAUGAUGAUCUAUAUAUUGAUUUUGUUGCUUACUUGGUUCAUGUUUAUAAAAAAAUUGAUGUCAUA